Molecule: ribosomal RNA, 398 nt
Filed under: uncultured bacterium
Lineage: Bacteria
Description: partial 16S ribosomal RNA
Rfam family: Bacterial small subunit ribosomal RNA
Source: RNAcentral
AUACGUAGGGUGCGAGCGUUGUCCGGAAUUACUGGGCGUAAAGAGCUCGUAGGUGGUUUGUCGCGUCGUCUGUGAAAUUCCGGGGCUUAACUCCGGGCGUGCAGGCGAUACGGGCAUAACUUGAGUACUGUAGGGGAGACUGGAAUUCCUGGUGUAGCGGUGAAAUGCGCAGAUAUCAGGAGGAACACCGGCGGCGAAGGCGGGUCUCUGGGCAGUAACUGACGCUGAGGAGCGAAAGCAUGGGUAGCGAACAGGAUUAGAUACCCUGGUAGUCCAUGCUGUAAACGGUGGGCGCUAGGUGUAGGGGUCUUCCACGACUUCUGUGCCGUAGCUAACGCAUUAAGCGCCCCGCCUGGGGAGUACGGCCGCAAGGCUAAAACUCAAAGGAAUUGACGGGG